RNAcentral lists this small RNA (2355 nucleotides) under Pongo abelii (Sumatran orangutan). RNAcentral describes it as "retained intron". Lineage: Eukaryota; Metazoa; Chordata; Mammalia; Primates; Hominidae. The record is from RNAcentral.
UUGGACAACAGAGCGAGACUCCAUCUCUGAAAAAUAAAAAACCAGAAAAUGUGAGCCUGGCCUUUUUUCAGGGUUACAACUUCUCGUCAUCACAGUCCAUCACAACCUGGGUGACGUUAGCUGGAUGUGGCCCCGCCCCGAUUUCCAUGAGACUCCUCCUGAACAAUGUUUCCAAGGAGUUGAGCUCCUGAGCCUGGUGCUGAUGAAUUGUAUUGGAGACAGUCCUCAGCGCUGAGUGUGUGUAACGAGUGUCCUCUCUCCACAGGUGCGGUCUGCCUGCAGCCUUUCUGCCACUUGUACUGGGGCUGCACCCGGACCGGCUGCUUCGGCUGCCUGGCCCCGUUCUGUGGUAAUACCGGCUCUUCAGACCCCAGUUGCUUUGACCUUUGCAUGUUCUUUUGGUGAACUUGAGGGCAGGGGAUGGUGGGAUCCAUAGCCUGAUGUUUAUAGGGAUGAGGCCACUGUUGGUCAUCAAAUGAUACCUAUUCCUGGCUGAACUGCAGAGGCGUGUCAAAUUCGUGUUAGCUCAAAAUCAAGCCUUAACAGAAGGAUUAGGGGAGAUACUCCCAGGACAGAAUCCUUGCUGCGGGGUUCUGCUGUCACGAUACCAGACCAGGUGCUGGGGAGACGUGGAGAGCUGAUCUUUUUAAGGAGGGAGUGGAAUGGAAAUCAUUUCUACUUGUCCUCUGUUUAAAAUUGAGUUUUAUCAUUGAACUUCUUAUUGUUUCUAGAAUCUGUAAUGAAAAGAAAUAUGUUUAUCCUCAGUGUCGGGCAGACAGUGCUUUCCUGCGACAUCAUUAUAAACAGGUAACAUUGCCCCUUCAUCUCGGCAGAGCUCAACCUGGGUGACAAGUGUCUGGACGGCGUGCUGAACAACAACAGCUACGAGUCAGACAUCCUGAAGAAUUACCUGGCAACCAGAGGUUUGACAUGGAAAAACAUGUUGACCGAGAGUCUCGUGGCUCUCCAGCGGGGAGUGUUUCUGCUGUCUGAUUACAGAGUCACGGGAGACACCAUUCUGUGUUACUGCUGUGGCCUGCGCAGCUUCCGCGAGCUGACCUAUCAGUAUCGGCAGAACAUUCCUGCUUCCGAGUUGCCAGUGGCCGUAACAUCCCGUCCUGACUGCUACUGGGGCCGUAACUGCCGCACUCAGGUGAAAGCUCACCAUGCCAUGAAAUUCAAUCAUAUCUGUGAACAGACAAGGUUCAAAAACUAAGCAUCCAGAGGCCCCGAGCAGCUUUCAGCACUGGAGGUGAAGAGAGCGUGUUUUUAAAAUACAGAGAUAAACACGUCAAGGUGUUUUCACAGCCCCCUGAGGGAAGGGACGCAGGGUCUCCGACAGGUGCUCUGGGGUGACUCUUCUGUGGAGCUUUACCCUCCGAGUGAGACCCUUCCCAGAGCCCCGGGGGCCGCAGCCCGCCCUCCUGGUGAGCGCUGGGCGGGGCUCAUGGUGGCAUCAGCAGCAGAGACGAAGCCUUUCCGUAACCUGCGGCCGUCCUGCCAAGAGGGGCAGUUUUGCUCUUUUGUACGUUUUCCGUAACUACAGUUAAAGCAGAAGUCUGUUUUCAGGAAAAGUUUCAAGGGAGAAAGGGGCGAGUUUAUCAAAAACAUUGUUUCAGGAGAAGGGAGCAUAAGUUUACAGCCUACAGGAUGUACACAAUAUUCUGCUGUUGGGAAAACCACAGCAUUUUAUAUAUUUUUUAUUUUAAUAGGUUUGGUGCUUAUCUUCUAAUAACAUUUAAAUGUCACAAACUGUAGCACAAAUAAUAUAAUUUAUAAUUUACAAAUUGACUAAAAUUGGGUAUAGUAUGGUAUUUGAAAGAAUAAGCAUAUGCUUCUGUUUAUUAAAAAAAGAAACCUUCCAAUGUCCAAAACUGCUAACCCUCGACAUGGCCGCCAAGUUAGUCGCUCCUUGCUAACCAGUGAGUGACCGCGGCCCCAAGCCUGGGGCUGGACGCAGGUCCCAGGACGUGCUGCUCCCUUGUGUGAGUGACCACAGCCCCGAGCCCGGGGCUGGACGCAGGUCCCAGGACGCACUGCUCCCUCAUGCUGCCUGGGCCCUUCCUCCAAGACCCUACAGAACCUGAGGGGCACCUUGGCUUCCGCCUGUGCUAGGUUUGCCAUGUCAUCUGGAAUAAUACUUGAAAUUUUGAUUUUUGAAAAAAAAAGUUUAUCUUUUGUUGAAAUCACCUGUUAUCCUUGUUUGCAAACAUAACUUUUUUGCUUCUUCUCAGGAAUACGGUUUUCAACUAUUGUCUUGCUCUUGAUAGAAACUGAGAAGCAGCACUCUGUAUUUGUGGAGGAAAGUCCUCUCUUUUGCAUAUUCUAAUAAAUGAGCCGCGUUUGCUCCUCCGC